This 569-nucleotide ribosomal RNA is filed under the name fungal sp. RNAcentral describes it as "eukaryotic LSU rRNA". The stretch from base 206 to 359 matches the Rfam family "5.8S ribosomal RNA". The record is from RNAcentral. Lineage: Eukaryota; Fungi.
CGGAGGGAUCAUUAAUAGAAGCCGAAAGGCUACUUAAACCAUCGCGAACACGUCCAAGUUGCUUCGGCGGUCGGGGCCCCCCAUCUGGGGCCCCCUCGAGUGCCGGUGAGCCCCCCAGGGUCUCCCUGGGGGUUGUACGGCCGCCGCCGGAGGUACGAAACUCUGCAUUAUAGUGGCAUCUCUGAGUAAAACACAAAUAAGUUAAAACUUUCAACAACGGAUCUCUUGGUUCUGGCAUCGAUGAAGAACGCAGCGAAAUGCGAUAAGUAAUGUGAAUUGCAGAAUUCAGUGAAUCAUCGAAUCUUUGAACGCACAUUGCGCCCGCUAGUACUCUAGCGGGCAUGCCUGUUCGAGCGUCAUUUCAACCCUCAAGCCCUGCUUGGUGUUGGGGCCCUACGGCUGCCGUAGGCCCUGAAAGGAAGUGGCGGGCUCGCUGCAACUCCGAGCGUAGUAAUUCAUUAUCUCGCUAGGGAGGCUUGCGGCGCGCUCCGGCCGUUAAAGACCAUCUUUAACUCAAGGUUGACCUCGGAUCAGGUAGGAAUACCCGCUGAACUUAAGCAUAUCAAUAA